UACGUAGGUGGCGAGCGUUGUCCGGAAUUACUGGGUGUAAAGGGCGCGUAGGCGGUCUGUUAAGUUAGAUGUGAAACCCCCGGGCUUAACCCGGGGCAUGCAUCUAAAACUGGGAGACUUGAGUGCAGGAGAGGAAAGCGGAAUUCCUAGUGUAGCGGUGAAAUGCGUAGAUAUUAGGAGGAACACCAGUGGCGAAGGCGGCUUUCUGGACUGUAACUGACGCUGAGGCGCGAAAGCGUGGGGAGCAAACAGG
RNAcentral lists this ribosomal RNA (253 nucleotides) under uncultured bacterium. Its description in RNAcentral is "partial 16S ribosomal RNA". It matches the Rfam family "Bacterial small subunit ribosomal RNA", at positions 524 to 776 of the family's 1533-position model. The record is from RNAcentral.